GGCGGACGGGUGAGUAACACGUGGGUAACCUACCUAUAAGACUGGGAUAACUUCGGGAAACCGGAGCUAAUACCGGAUAACAUUUAGAACCGCAUGGUUCUAAAGUGAAAGAUGGUUUUGCUAUCACUUAUAGAUGGACCCGCGCCGUAUUAGCUAGUUGGUAAGGUAACGGCUUACCAAGGCGACGAUACGUAGCCGACCUGAGAGGGUGAUCGGCCACACUGGAACUGAGACACGGUCCAGACUCCUACGGGAGGCAGCAGUAGGGAAUCUUCCGCAAUGGGCGAAAGCCUGACGGAGCAACGCCGCGUGAGUGAUGAAGGGUUUCGGCUCGUAAAACUCUGUUAUUAGGGAAGAACAAAUGUGUAAGUAACUGUGCACAUCUUGACGGUACCUAAUCAGAAAGCCACGGCUAACUACGUGCCAGCAGCCGCGGUAAUACGUAGGUGGCAAGCGUUAUCCGGAAUUAUUGGGCGUAAAGCGCGCGUAGGCGGUUUCUUAAGUCUGAUG
Molecule: ribosomal RNA, 510 nt
Filed under: Staphylococcus sp. SCAUE9025
Lineage: Bacteria; Bacillati; Bacillota; Bacilli; Caryophanales; Staphylococcaceae
Description: bacterial SSU rRNA
Rfam family: Bacterial small subunit ribosomal RNA
Source: RNAcentral